RNA transcript from Haemorhous mexicanus (house finch), 4590 nucleotides. RefSeq lists it as uncharacterized. The transcript is spliced from 3 exons. NCBI's taxonomy places the organism in Eukaryota, Metazoa, Chordata, Aves, Passeriformes, Fringillidae. The record is from RefSeq and is a predicted model, not a curated record.
CCACCGGGGCCGACCAUGACCCUCAUCGCCAUGGAAACACCCGGACCGCCCCUGCCCGGAGCUGGUUGGCUCAGCCCACAAACUGCGCCCACAGCCCCCGUUCCGCAAACCACGCCUGCCUUCCACUGCAACACGGGGGUGGAACCUGAGAUGACAUCACUACAAAUGCCCGGAUGUUACCACUACGUCACACCCGGAAGCACAGCAGAACCAGGAAGCUCCAACACCACGAUACAGAGCCCCGUUCCCAGCACCAGUCCCGGACAUGCAGCUGUCACUGCUGCAGCACCGUGGCAGCUACAGUCAAAGUCCCAACAAGGCGAGGAAGCCCCUAAAACCCUGCUGACGCCAGCUCCAGCCCCUUUGAUGUUCCGAGCAGGAAAGAUUCCCACCCGAGACCGGGUAAUCUUCUGGACAGAGGUAAAACAAAAGGCUAUAGAUUGUGGAGAUAUAGAAGAGGCUGAACUAAUUUCUGUACCCAUGGACUCACCAUCAUCCGAGAACUGGCAACAGGGCGAGGGAACAGUUACAGCAUUCCCAGUGGUACAAGCAGCGUUGAAGGAGCAGGUGACGAAGGAGCAGGCACCUGAAGAGCCUUCACUGUUGUCGCGGUGCCAUGAGCGUCUUUCUUUUUCCGGUUAUCUGGUGCCGCAUACCCCACAGGUAAGGCAUACACAGUCUGCCGCAAAUACACAAGCUCCACCAGCACUCUGCUGCCUCGCCUAACGCGGUCCCACAAAGUGUCCCCUAAAACGUUCCAUGUCCGAGGGUCAAAAACAUUGGUACUAUUCAAAGUUGGAUCCCAGUCUUUCCAAUCUGAAGAUUCAACUUUCCUGCCAUGUUUCUGCGAAAUCUGUUUCAGCAUCUCCGCGACGUUCUUUUGCUCCUGGGAAACACCACUCCCCAUAGUUCUUGGCUGCUACCCAUUUGUUGCAUCAUGUUGCAACUGAGUUCAUCAUGUCCAGGGAGGGUGCAGCUGCCAGUGCCGGGCGUGGGAACAAACGAGAUGGGUCUUCAUUUCAUAAAGCUCGAGAAUCCAUUUAUUACCCCUGGGGAGGAGGGGCAGGACAAAGACGAAAGAUCAGGCAAAGGCAGGGUUGUAGGGUUUUUAUAGGGUAUCGCAGGGGUGAAGUUAGGGUUUGGGUCAAGGAAGGAGUUAUUAGCAACACAAGAAGGGUAAGAUCAAAUUCCUGCCUCUUAGGAGCAGGGGCAUUCCACACCCUCUGUCCUGCAGAAAGGUCAACUGGCACCAGGAGCUUUGUUUCAGCUCCUGGGCUUCAUUUCAGCUCCUGGGCUUCCUUUCAGCCCCUCUGUAAAGUUCAGCCAAGUCAUCCUCACUGGUGCAACUGCUAGUUGCCUUUCAAUCCCUGAUGCAGGGCCCCAUUUGUGAGAGACUGAGACACAGACUCAGACCAGCAGAGAAUCUGAAUUGUUUAUUCAAAGAAACAAGCUGGUUUUAUACACUUUUUCAAGGCACAGUAUUUCCUUACAUGGUAAUUCUCACUAUGUGAGCUAUCCCAUUUUACCACGUCAGCAACACACGUUCUAAAUGUCCUUCUGCUGGGUGAUCACGUGCUGUUCACCUGUCAGUUUGCUUCCAGCAGGCUUCUCUCCUGUAGGGCUCUACCGCAUGACACCUCCUUCCCCCCCAGUGUCAGACGGAGACAAUCCUCUCUGUGUUGCCAUGUGCUUCUGCAGACGCAUCCCACAGCCCUCAGCUCAACUCCAUCCUAUCUCUUCCCACAGGCAGGUGCGAUGAUUCCUCCGUGGCUGCAGGUGGCGGUGUGGCGUGAGCUCAGAUGACUCUUCACGAAAUUUCGAAAGAGAAACGUACCCUGCUGGAAGUUCGGCAGCUCAGUCAGGUCUCCUGGGAUGAUUGGUGAUUGCAGGUCGACACCCCGGGGACAGCAGAGGACUAAAUAAUGAAAAACAAGAGGGGGAAGAAAAAGCAGGCAAAAAUUGUGAGUAUUUGCAUGCGUGUGAGAGUCCGAGAGUGUGCUUGGAGUGUGUGUGAGAUUUGAGAGAUUUACCGGAUUUGGGGGGCUCGAGAACACCUGGUGACGCCAGGUUGAGAGUCACCAGAUUUGGGGGGCUUUGACCACGCUUGUGUGAGUGGCAGGGUCUCAGAGACCAGGCAUGAACGCACUUGGGUGACGGCAGGUGGGGACCCAACACAGCAGCUCUCAGCACCUGCUGGCCUGGCAGGAGUGGUGGCAGCAGCGGCAACACGAAGUGUGGUUUACGUGCAGCACCGCUGAGGACCAAGGCACCAAAGCCCAGCGUUGUAAUCUCCGGCGCCACCAACUUGGCUAGGAGUGGGGAUGGUGACUUGAAAGUGUGGGCACAGUUGCACACGACGCGGCUGGCAAUUGGUGCCUCUUAGCGAAGCCCUGGCACCAGGCUGCCUGUGGCGACUUGGGGUCCCAGGGGUGGGGAUAGCCAGCAGGGCUGACCCAGGAGUGCCGGACUGUGGAGACUUCUCUGCAGUAUCCACUGGCAUAAAAAGCCGCAGGGUCGCAGGACCCCACAUGGUGGGAGGGGGGCCUUUUGACAGUUGCCCUAGCACGCCAAAAGGCACAGGGGUGUGAGACCCUGGUGGCAAAAGAGUAGAAGGGCUGACCCAGUCGCACGGGAGUUCCUGGACUGCAGGCGGGGUUUUUAUUUGUUCCAGCCUUCCAGGGAGAAAGUAAGGGGUUUUUUUCCUUCUUUUUCUUUUCCUUUCUCUCUCUUUUUCUACUUUCUUUUUCUUUCUAACUGAUCAGGGAGCCAGGCUCUGUCAGGAAGGCCUGUGAUUAGUCAGUCAGGAUGGGACUAUGGGCAAGUAAGGAAUCCUCAAGGGGAGAAGGAGAAAUUGAGGAGAUAUCAGGAGGUAUACCCCCAGAUAGCCCACUAGGAAGAAAAUUAGCCCAGUGGAGAUAUGACUCCAACACUAGAGAUAAAAAUAAGUUCAAGAUGAUACAAUACUGUAUGAUAGAGUGGUCUAAAGAAGAAAUUCGGCCUGAUAAUGUACUUUGGCCAAGGUAUGGGUUGGACGAAGGGUGGAUAUGUCGGGUUUUAAACAUGUAUGUAAAGGCUAAGAAACCAUUUAAUCAAGAAGGGAGUGACUAUGCUGCCUGUUGGGAAGCAGAAAUUCCACCUUCAGGGGUGGAUGACUUUGAAAUAACAAAGAAUAAAGAAUGGGACCAGUUAGACUAUUAGCCUCCUCCUCCUCCACUGGCACUGACCGCACCUCCCUUGCUCUCUGAUGAUCCUAGUCAAAAUACUGGCAACAGAAUGGAACAGCAAAAGGAAAAGAAGUCAGGUGACAGGAACCAAGCAAUAGGAUUGUAUCCUCUUGAUAUGGGAAACACAUAUGUAUAUGAAAAUUCAGAAUUUUAGAAGCAUAUAAUGUACUUAGGCAGGUGGAGGAAAACAGAAAUAUAUAUAUAGCUUAUUUAGCAAGUUUGCAAAAGUACAGAACACAGUUUGUAACAGGAAUGUAACUUGCUAGGUAGAGACAACUUGUAACAGAACACAUAAGAAUUUAGUUGCUUGGUAAAGGCCAUAAAGAUAAAAAACUCAGUAAAGCAAGACUCAGGUAUUGCUGAAACCCAUAAAGCAGAACCUUUUGCUUAAGGACCCAGCAAGAACCAGGCUCCUGGUUUUGGCCAGGACAAAUUGACCUGAGAGAAAGCCAAACCUCCACUGCGCCUGCCCAGAAGAAAGGGUCAAGCAGCGAACAUCGAGGAAGAUGUUACUUCAUCAAAGAUGCCCGCCCACGACCACCAGGAGGCGUGGCACCACCAAAGACUCUGGGUGGGGAAUGGGCGGGCAGGGAGGUAUAGGCUUGUGAGAUCAAUGCGUAUAAAAAACCUGUAACCUGCCUUAGCAGGUACACAUGUCUUUGGUGGAAAUAUCUCCCAUCCAUCCCAGCUGGAAUAAAACAUAUCUGCUUUACAAUUUCUAAUUGUAAAGUCCUUACUCCGCAAAUCACUCUGAGGGAAGUACCACUGGGUGGGGCACAUGGGGGAAUUGGGUUUGUAACUGCACCACUCAAUUCCUCUGAUGUGAAGAUGUUCAAGAAAGAAUUAAAAGGAUUACUAGAAGAACCCCUUGGGUUAGCAGAACAGUUAGACCAAUUUUUAGGCCCCAAUAUUUAUACAUGGGAAGAAAUGCCAUGGUCAAUGGCAAUAAUGGCCAAUAAUGCCAAUAAUGGCCAAUAAUGGCCAUGUUAUUUACACCAGAAGAAAGACAGAUGAUCGGGGUGGCUGGGAUAUGAAUAUGGGAAAGGGACAUCCUAGGGAUCUGAAAAUGCCCACAGUACACCCUAAUUGGGACCACAACGACCCUGGGGGAAGGCAAAACAUGGAGGAGUAUAGAACAUCAAUUGUAAGGAGUAUUAAAGAAGCAGCCCCACAAAGCCAAAAUGCUUGGAAAGCAUUUGAUGAACAACAAAAGAGGGAAGAAACCCCAACAGAGUGACUAGAAAGGCUGAGGAAAAAUAUGAAACAAUAUUCACGUAUCAACCCUGAAACAGCAGCCAGACAGAUCUUGCUAAAAACAUAUUUUGUCACCCAUGUGUGGAUAGAUAUACAGAGAAAACUAGAGAAA